Molecule: long non-coding RNA, 999 nt
Organism: Clupea harengus (Atlantic herring)
Lineage: Eukaryota; Metazoa; Chordata; Actinopteri; Clupeiformes; Clupeidae
Source: Ensembl
GUAAGUGACUUGCGUGUCCGAUAGCAAGUUACAAGUUUUUUGUUUAAUACAUCGAUUGCAACACUUUUGCAUGGUCACCUUGCCACUGAAUACCCUGAAAUUGUGUUUCAAAUAUUGAAACAUUUUAGCGGAGGCGCUUCAGAAGAAAAUCUUAAAGACCGCCUCGAUUAAUGUGGCUGGAAUAACGCUAGCUAGUUUAUUUAUCAUUCCUAGUAACUCAAAAACAUCUGACUUUUAUAGUCCAAGUGAUCACUGUGUCUGCUGAGUAAAUAACACUCACCAAACCUAAUGUUAUUUUUGAAGGAAUUCAACACGGGUACACGUCAACCCUAUGUGUGAAUGCUAGCAUGGAGUUUAGGAAGUUAGCUUGUCUGCCUAGCAGGCCAUUAUCUGCUUGAGCUGGUUGGCGAGAGUUUUCGACGUAUGUUAACUUGGACUUCUGGAAUUGUACCAUUUGAAGUGAGACUGUGCCCUUUAUGUACUGCUCUUAGUUGGCAUUAAAUAACUUAGAUAUUGUGCAUUUCCCGCCCAGCACGUGUUCCUUUGGUCCAGCCAUGUUUAACCCGGGUGCAAGUGGAUGGAAAGUUCUAGAACAACGAAGUGGCUACAAGAUCACGGGUGUACCCAGUCCCCAAAGAGGCCUGCUUGAAGACAUGGCAGUUGCACAUCUCUGUGUUUCUGUGUGCUGAGAAUUCAUGGCUACCUCAGCUGAGAUUUGAUGCAGUCAUGUGGAUGGCUUAUUUGUGAUAAUGGUCUACUGACGAGAAUCGUACGACAUAGUUGACUCCACCAGGCUGUCUGUAGGAUGCGGCCAUGUCAGUCCCCAGGGGACCUUGAGUCUGGACACCAGUGAAUUGAUGUGGUGGCCACGCCUCCUGUACUGUGACUUCAUCUGAUAUUUGCAAGACUUUGCACAAGUCAAUUUAUAAGACUUGUACUUUCAUAUAUAUUUUUUUUGUGAAUUGCAUGUCAUGCUUUAGAAAAAGCAGUGGAAUAAAA